UCGGUGCCGCUGAUGGGAGACCAGGCCAGCGGGUAAAAGGGAAACAGGUGCAAAACCUGUGCGAACUCGUCACUGUGAAGGCGGAGCGCGGCGCAAUGCGGCGACGCGGCCACUGUCCACGGCGCGGUGGGGAUGCCUCCCCGCCGCCCGGGAUGGGAAGGCUGCGCUGCGCGUCGAAGCCUGAGCCAGGAAACCUGCCGAGCG
Molecule: non-coding RNA, 204 nt
Filed under: bovine gut metagenome
Source: RNAcentral